AUCCGGUUGACGAGUCCCAAAUAGGAUGAAACGCGCGUCCUGAAU
RNAcentral lists this non-coding RNA (45 nucleotides) under Schistosoma mattheei. The record is from RNAcentral. Lineage: Eukaryota; Metazoa; Platyhelminthes; Trematoda; Strigeidida; Schistosomatidae.